GACAGAGGGGGCAAGCGUUGCUCGGAAUUACUGGGCGUAAAGGGCGCGUAGGCGGCAUGACAAGUCACUUGUGAAAUCUCCGGGCUUAACUCGGAACGGUCAAGUGAUACUGUCGCGCUAGAGUGCGGAAGGGGCAAUCAGAAUUCUUGGUGUAGCGGUGAAAUGCGUAGAUAUCAAGAGGAAUACCUGAGGUGAAGACGGGUUGCUAGGCCGACACUGACGCUGAAGCGCGAAAGCCAGGGGAGCAAACGGG
This 253-nucleotide ribosomal RNA is filed under the name uncultured bacterium. Its description in RNAcentral is "partial 16S ribosomal RNA". It matches the Rfam family "Bacterial small subunit ribosomal RNA", at positions 524 to 776 of the family's 1533-position model. The record is from RNAcentral.